GUUUAUACAGACAACAGUGGAGAGUACUGGUAUGAGCCUGAAGCAGGGAGAAGAAGUAAUGUUAUCAACCUCUCUGUUACUGCUGGUCCUGUGAUCCUGGAGAGUCCUGCUGUUCCUGUAUUAAUGGAAGAAACGGUGACUCUGAGCUGCAGAAAGAAAAUUUCUUCCUCCAACUUUAAAGCUGAUUUCUACAAAAAUGGACGUCUCAUCCAUACAAGCAUCACAGGAAACAUGACCAUCCACAGGAUUUUCAAAUCAGAUGAAGGAUUUUACAAAUGUAUUAUCUCAGGAGUUGGAGAAUCACCAGAGAGCUGGCUGAAAGUCACAGAUUCUCUUAGUUUAAAAUACACAAAUAAUCUAGACAAGAAUGUGUGCCAUUCCUCAUCUGCUGCCACACCUUGCAUCAUUACCACCAUUUUAGUCAGUGCUCUGUUGGUGGCAGUGGGACUGCAUCACUUUGGCAAAGGUUACUGGAAGAGAGAGACGGGCACAGUGGAUGCAGACAGAGAAACAUAUGCUGCUGUAAGAAAGACAGGAGAUGAAGAUACAUUGCCCUCUAAACCUAGUUGCCACAGCGUAGGCCUUGGUGAUACUCAGCCGCAAGAAGCUGGAACCAGCACAGAGAUGUCCUCAGCAGGUCCCUGCAAACCCAGAGCAGAGUAUCCCCUCAUUUCCACUAAACCACAGGUUGCUAAGAGAGAGCUGCCUGAAAAAAUAGUCACAUCUGAAUGAGAGCAAAAACAAAGAAGCAUUUUCACAUAUUGUUUUUGUUGCUAAGAAAUUUGUACAUUAUCAUCUUAGUUUGGUGUUCAAGUACAUAAACUGUUUUAGCUUAUUUUUUUGUUCAAUCAGAUCCGGCUAGUUGCCUUUCCUAUGUUGUUACAAGUAGAUCUAAAGUUUGAAGACAAGCAAAGGCACCUGCCUGAUAAUUAUAAGUUUAUCUUUAACCAACUUGGUCUAUCUUCUUUCCAUUUUUAGACAUGUAUGAAUGCUGUUACAAUAAAAGAGGUACUGCAGC
Molecule: long non-coding RNA, 1018 nt
Organism: Astatotilapia calliptera (eastern happy)
Lineage: Eukaryota; Metazoa; Chordata; Actinopteri; Cichliformes; Cichlidae
Source: Ensembl